UGGCGGCAGGCCUAACACAUGCAAGUCGAGCGCACUCUUCGGAGUGAGCGGCGGACGGGUUAGUAACGCGUGGGAACAUACCCUUUUCUACGGAAUAGCCUCGGGAAACUGAGAGUAAUACCGUAUACGCCCUUUUGGGGAAAGAUUUAUCGGUGAAGGAUUGGCCCGCGUUUGAUUAGAUAGUUGGUGGGGUAAUGGCCUACCAAGUCUACGAUCAAUAGCUGGUUUGAGAGGAUGAUCAGCAACACUGGGACUGAGACACGGCCCAGACUCCUACGGGAGGCAGCAGUGGGGAAUCUUAGACAAUGGGCGCAAGCCUGAUCUAGCCAUGCCGCGUGAGUGACGAAGGCCUUAGGGUCGUAAAGCUCUUUCGCCAGGGAUGAUAAUGACAGUACCUGGUAAAGAAACCCCGGCUAACUCCGUGCCAGCAGCCGCGGUAAUACGGAGGGGGUUAGCGUUGUUCGGAAUUACUGGGCGUAAAGCGUACGUAGGCGGAUUGGAGAGUAUGGGGUGAAAUCCCAGGGCUCAACCCUGGAACUGCCCUGUAAACUAUCAGUCUAGAGUUCGAGAGAGGUGAGUGGAAUUCCAAGUGUAGAGGUGAAAUUCGUAGAUAUUUGGAGGAACACCAGUGGCGAAGGCGGCUCACUGGCUCGAUACUGACGCUGAGGUACGAAAGUGUGGGGAGC
Molecule: ribosomal RNA, 686 nt
Filed under: uncultured marine bacterium
Lineage: Bacteria
Description: bacterial SSU rRNA
Rfam family: Bacterial small subunit ribosomal RNA
Source: RNAcentral